CCUACGGGAGGCAGCAGUGGGGAAUAUUGCACAAUGGGGGAAACCCUGAUGCAGCGACGCCGCGUGAGUGAAGAAGUAUUUCGGUAUGUAAAGCUCUAUCAGCAGGGAAGAAAAUGACGGUACCUGAUUAAGAAUCCCUGGCUAACUACGUGCCAGCAGCCGGGGUAAUACGUAGGAGGCCAGCGUUAUCCGGAUUAAUUGGGUGUAAAGGGAGCGUAGUCGGCAGCACAAGUCAGUGGUGAAAUGCCGGGGCUUAACCACGGAACUGCUUUGGAAACUGGGCAGCUAGAGUGCGGGAGAGGUAAGUGGAAUGCCUAGUGUAGCGGUGAAAUGCGUAGAUAUUAGGAGGAACACCAGUGGCGAAGGCGGCUUACUGGACUGUAACUGACGUUGAGGCUCGAAAGCGUGGGGAGCAAACAGGAUUAGAUACCCCGGUAGUC
This 440-nucleotide ribosomal RNA is filed under the name uncultured bacterium. RNAcentral describes it as "partial 16S ribosomal RNA". It matches the Rfam family "Bacterial small subunit ribosomal RNA", at positions 338 to 795 of the family's 1533-position model. The record is from RNAcentral.